RNAcentral lists this small RNA (124 nucleotides) under Marmota monax (woodchuck). Lineage: Eukaryota; Metazoa; Chordata; Mammalia; Rodentia; Sciuridae. The record is from RNAcentral.
GCUGGGUGUGGUUGCACAUGCCUGUAAUCCCAGUGACUCUUGAGGCAGAGACAGGAGGAUCUCAAGUUCAAGGCCAGCCCCAGCUAUUAGCAAGGCCUUAAGCAAUAGGGAGACCCUAUCUCAU